GUGAAAUUGUUGGAAAGGAAACGAUUAAAGUCAGUCGUACCAACGGGAAAUCAACCUUUUGAGUUCGGUCUUGUGGGUUUGAAGAGUUUCAAAGCCUUCUGAUUUGUGAGAUUGGGAUCUCUUGGUGCACUUUUUCGUACGGUUAGUCAACAUCGGUUUUAAUCAUUAUAAAAUGGUUGAAGGAAUGUAACUUUGAUUUCGAUCGAGGUAUUAUAUAUAGCCUUUGGUAGAUGUGAUGUUCGAGACCGAGGAUUGCAACGGAUACCCUUCUGGGCUAUUCAUCUGAUCUCUGAAACGUUGCCUUGAUGUCGAAAGCUUGCUUAUGAUGUUAGGGUAUUACGAUCAAAAGGUUAGAACGGAUUAAAUUCGUUAAGGAUGUUGACGUAAUGGCUUUAAACGAC
This 401-nucleotide ribosomal RNA is filed under the name uncultured Funneliformis. RNAcentral describes it as "eukaryotic LSU rRNA". The record is from RNAcentral. Lineage: Eukaryota; Fungi; Glomeromycota; Glomeromycetes; Glomerales; Glomeraceae.